This 252-nucleotide ribosomal RNA is filed under the name uncultured bacterium. RNAcentral describes it as "partial 16S ribosomal RNA". It matches the Rfam family "Bacterial small subunit ribosomal RNA", at positions 524 to 776 of the family's 1533-position model. The record is from RNAcentral.
UACGUAGGGGGCAAGCGUUGUCCGGAAUUAUUGGGCGUAAAGCGCGCGCAGGCGGUCAAUUAAGUCUGGUGUUUAAGGCUGUGGCUCAACCACAGUUCGCACUGGAAACUGGUUGACUUGAGUACAGAAGAGGAAAGUGGAAUUCCACGUGUAGCGGUGAAAUGCGUAGAGAUGUGGAGGAACACCAGUGGCGAAGGCGACUUUCUGGGCUGUAACUGACGCUGAGGCGCGAAAGCGUGGGGAGCAAACAGG